AUGGCCGACGAAUCCGCCACGCAAAGCCAGGCCCAAGGGUGCGGCUCGUACCCCUUCUCGUUCCCUUCCCAGCCGCCGGACAUCAGGAACUGGUUCUCAAGUUACCAGUACGAGUCCCCGGAGGUGCCGGAGCUGGCUAUUGACCCUCCUGCUGUCGACAACGGCAGCGAGACCCAAGACCCGUUGGAGUUCCCGGUGGCUGGGCAUUCAUUUCUGAAAGACGCCCCUGGGAAUGGCGGCACUGAUUUGAAGAGGGACUGUUUUGGGAGCCAAGCUGAGCAUGCUGAGGCUUCUGCUAAGAGAGAUUUCCUUCCGAGUGGUGGGAGCACUGUUGAACAGGGCACGAAAAGGAAGCAAAGCCUGCGGGGGCUGUUUGGUUUUCUGGACCAUGAAGAGGGUACUCAAACUGAAAAUCGGGUGGCGUGGCCUGUGCAGAGAAGUACGGUGGAUCCUCCGUGGAACCGCAACUGGGUAGGCUUACAGAAUAGAAAGCGCAGCCAUGAAGGCAUGGUUGAAUACAGCGAGCUGCCGACAGAUAGUGAGAGCACAUGUAUAGCUGAGACUCAAGCUGAAAGUCGGGUGGCGUUGCCUGUGCUGAAAAGUGCAGUGGAUCGUCUGUGGGACUGCAACUGGAUAGGCUUGCGGAAUAGAAAGCGCAUCCAUGAAGGCGUAGUUGAACACAGCGAGCUGCCGACAGAUAGUGAGAGCACCUGUAUAGCUGAAACUCAGACUGAUAGUCGAGUGGUGUUGCCUGCGCUGAGAGGUGCAGUGGAUCCUCUGUGGGACUGCAACUGGAUAGGCUUAAGGAAUGGCAAGCGCAGCCAUGAAGGCGUAGCUCAACAUAGUGAGCUGCCGAUGGAUAGUGAGGGCACUUGUGUACCUGAAACUCAGUUAAACCCCCCGGGAGGUCAGGAGACCAAACACAGUAAACGUUCGGUUAAUUGUGGUGGUACUAGUUUAGCAGCAGAUACUGAAGAAGGUUUACCAGAAGAUGGCACUGAAAGCAACCUGCCAGUUAAUUUUGACAGUAAAGGCCUAGCAGAUGCGGGGAAAACUGAGCAAAGUCUGCGAGGGUUGUUUGAAGCAGGUUUUCUUGGCAACCGCGAUGAAGCUACUCAAACUGAAAGUCCGGUGGUGUUGCCUGUGCUGAGACGUGCAGUGGAUCCUCGUUGGGACUGCAAUUGGAUAGGCUUACGGAAUAGAAAGCGCAGCCAUGAAGGUGCAGUUGAACACAGCGAGCUGCUGACGGAUAGUGAGGGCACUUGUAUAGCUGAAACUCAAGUAAACCCCCCAGGAGGUCAGCAGAACCACAUCAAACAGCUAGUUCAUUGUGGUGGUACUAGUAAAGCAGCAGAUACUGAAGAAGGUUUCCUAGAAGAUCGCACUGAACAUAGCAACCUGCCAAUUAAUUUUCCUAGUAAAGGCCUAGCGGGUAGUGAGAAGACUAAGCGAAGUCUGCGAAAAUUGUUUGGAGCAGGUUUUCUUGACGAUGGGGAUGAAGCUAAUGAAUCUGAAACUUGGGUGGUGUCGGCUGUACAGAGAAAUGCAGUGCAGCCUCUGUCAAAUUGCAAUGCUGCAGGCUUGCCUCAUAUCGAACAUAUCCAUGAAGGCGCAGUAGGAUACAGUGAGCUACCGGCAGAUCACGAUGUCAUCAGUAUAGCUGAAACUCGAGAAAAUCCACCAGUGGGUCAGGUGAUUGAACACAACAGACUGCCUGUUAACUGUGGUAGUAUGAGUUUAUCAGCAGAUACCGAAGAAGGUUUCCUAGAAGAUGGCAUUGAACACAGCAAAGUGCCAGUCAAUUCUCAUAAUAAAGUCCUAUCUGACAUUGAGAAAACUGGCAUCGAACACCUCGUACUGCCUGUUAAUCCUAAUGGAAUUGGUUCAGCUGUCACAGAAGAAAGCUUUCCUGGAGAUGAAAUUAGACGAAGCAAGCCUAAACUGGAGCAUAAGAAAACAGAAGGAACAGCUGCGGCCGAUGGUUUUGUUGCCAUCAGGACAAAGGUGAAGCCAGCUGAGGAUCGCAGGAAAAACAAAAUGCCUAAGCUCUCAACACGAAGAGAGAACACAACAUUGCAAGAGAACCGCUACAUUUUGGGGACAGGUAGCACUAGAAGCCCCUUGUCAGAUAGGACCAAUAUCUCAGAAGUUGCAGGAGCUCCAGCACAGGAGAUCAGCGGCAAAUGGAAGUGCCCUCGCAAAGGCAAGCCCUACGUUGGCCCUCCGAUGAAACAGCUGCGGUUGGAACAAUGGGUGCGCCGAGUUUAA
This 2268-nucleotide ribosomal RNA is filed under the name Triticum aestivum (bread wheat). RNAcentral's name for it is "partial small subunit ribosomal RNA". Lineage: Eukaryota; Viridiplantae; Streptophyta; Magnoliopsida; Poales; Poaceae. The record is from RNAcentral.